Long non-coding RNA from Balaenoptera musculus (blue whale), 911 nucleotides. RefSeq lists it as uncharacterized. Lineage: Eukaryota; Metazoa; Chordata; Mammalia; Artiodactyla; Balaenopteridae. The record is from RefSeq and is a predicted model, not a curated record. The transcript has 3 exons.
CGGGGUAAGAGGAGGGGGAGGGCGCGGAGCCCUGCCGGCGGCCAGAGGACCGGCGGGCGCUGACUGCGACCACCGCUCUCGGGCAGCGGACGCGCUUUGGAAGAUGAGUGGAAAACUACAAUAAAAAAAACAUAGCCAUGAAAAUAAGUGAGAUUAAAACCUGCCGGCUUCACUUCCUGGAGGCUUUUUGUUGGGUCUUGAAACUAGGAGUCUUUGCGGGUCAUCCUCGAACAUGUGGGCUCCUAGACACUCCUGCGGGCAGCGCUGGGUCUCCAGUGCCAAGCAGGGUGCCUGGCUCCUUUGCAAGUGAAUGAACGGACCCUGAAGCAGAAGCUGCCUCCUAAUCAGUCAAGGAGCUGGAUUUCUCAGCUUUCCAUUCUUAGGCGGUGUUGUCAUCAACCUGUGGAGAGAAACUGGAUUUAUCUGGGGGGUAAGGAAAUUCAUUCUCCCUGGCUUUAUAUAUUUUCCAACCCACAGUGUCGGAUCGGCUAAAUAUUAGUGGUCUUUAGUUUCUUUAUGUGAUGUAUACCACUUGUCACUGUUUAAUGUAAUCUUAUGUCAUUUAAAGGUUAAAUUAUAGGGUAACUAGAAAGCGACAAUAAUACAAUCUUAAGCACAAUCAUUUAGAGGAAGAUUUCCCGCUAAAACUUGGUUAAAAUAAAUUUGAGAAAGAUGCAGUUCAGUUCAUUCAACAAAUUUGACUUUGUGACAGAUCGAACGUAGUCUGUUGUAUUUAAUAAGAAUUCAGCCCAUAAAGGAAGAUUUAAUGACAUUAAUGAAAUUAGCUUUAUGUAUUAAUGGAACUGAAGGAGUCAACUCUAAAAGCGAAUGUUCUCUAAACCUAAAUAUUUUAUACUCAAGAAAAUCCGCUGGGAACUUCCCUGGUGGCGCGUUGGUUAAGAAUCCACCUG